CGCCUGACCCGUUUUACAUCCCUACUUCGGCACAACCCAAAAUUUUCUAAUCUUGUCUGCCGCGAACGAACCGGCCCCGCCGUAGGUUGUUUCUAAGGCGAGUGGUCAUUCAUGGUAGAGAUUAAAUUUGUUUGAAUUUUAUUUUUUUGAAAUCAGGAGUAUAGGUUUAUGGCUUCCAACAGACUCAAGAAUCUGCUGUUAAUUACCCCACACUUUCGGUGUUAAGGAACCCUCGAUUAAGAGACCAAAUAUAAAUGUUAAUAAUAAAGGAGACCAAACAGGCAAAUAAAAUUUUAUUAAUAUGAUUUGC
This 310-nucleotide long non-coding RNA is filed under the name Ananas comosus (pineapple). RNAcentral's name for it is "long non-coding RNA (ACOM_LNC023085)". The record is from RNAcentral. Lineage: Eukaryota; Viridiplantae; Streptophyta; Magnoliopsida; Poales; Bromeliaceae.